AGAAUUUAUAAUAUCCUAGAUAUUAUGCUAUGCUGUUUAUAUGCAUUAUUUCAAAAAUACUCACAAUUAUGAGUUAUGAAUGAUCCUUAUGCCUAUUACAAUGAUGACAAUUCUGAGGCUUAGGUUAAAUAAUUGCAAGAGUUCACAAAAGCAGCAAAGGAUUGGAACCAAGACUUGAAUGCAGAUGACCUGACCCAAAGCCUAUGCAUGUAACAGUUUUUUAUAUUGAUGUGUGUAACGGUUAACUUUAUGUGUCAACUUGACUGUACCAGGGGGUGCUAAGAUUAAAUAUUAUUUCGGGGCGUGUCUGGGAAGACAUUUCUGGAUGAGAUUAGCAUUUGAAUUAGUGGACUCAGUAAAGUAAAUGUUCCUCCCCAGUGUGAGUGGUCAUCAUUCAAUCCAUGGAGGGCCUAAAUAGAACAAAAAGGCAGAAGAAGGUGAAAUUCACCCCUUUUACUUCCUGCCUGCCUGCUUGAGCUAAGCCAUUAGUCUUCUCCGAUUCUUGUACUGGGAUUUACAUCAUUGACUUUCCUGGUUCUCAGGCAUUCAGACUCAGACUGGAAUUACGCUGCCGGCUUUCCUGGGUCCUCAGCUUGCAGAGGGCAGAUCAUGGGACUUCUGUGUUUCCAUAAUUGUGUGAGCCAGUUCCGAAUAAUAAAUCUCUCUCUCUCAUGUGUGUGAAAUUGAUGAUAAAAACUUGGAGAAGACUGCUGUAUUGGAUUACAGGUUCAUAUGUUCUAAGCAAGAGAGAAAAGCCUAAAAUCUAUUUCUCUGUCAUGAUACUGCUCGAAGGUAAGUGAUUUGGAGCUGAUUCGGUGUCUUACCAUUCUUAACAUGAUACUUGGAUCUCAGACUGUCGGGUGGUUGCUACUAUAUACAUCAUCUCAGUCAGCUGAAAGGAAAAUGAGCCAGAAGAGUCUGUACAACAUUUUAGAAGUAUAACUGGGAAGUGGCGUUAUCACUUCUGCUCAUUCUUUGUUGGUUAAAAUUUUGUCACGUGUCCACACAAAACCUCAAGGAAGUCUGGAAGUGGAAACCGUAGCUGUGUGCAGAUGUCACUAGCUAAAACUGAGGAGUUCUGUCAUUAAAGAAGGGAUGAAUACGUAUGAGGGGACGACUAUUAGUCUAUUCCUUAAUCCAUUUCUGUGGCAACCCUAAUAUCCAUCUGUAUCCCUUUUUCCACACAUAGAACCCACAUAAUCACAUCCAUAGAUGGCAACCAAAGCCACAUCCAGUAGUGUCGUUUAGCUGAAAGUGCCAGACCUCUGAAUGGUGAUUGGUUCUCUCCAUUAAGUCAGUCUGGAUUUACUGGUGUUUUGGUGACCUAUAAACUAAUAGAAAAAUUACUUGCUUCCUCCCCACACACACUUAACGGUAAUGGAGAAAGACAGGGAUAACUUCAAUUAAAAUAUCAUUCAGAAAAGAGAAUAAAGGGAAAUACAGAGCAGUCACUUGCCCACAGCAAUAACGAAAUCCUGUGAGCAAGCGUUGGCAGGGCAAAAUGUCCUUGGUUAGUUCUUGUUCUUGUCUCUAGAGAAAGCCCUUUGUGCAUUUUCGUCUCUGGUGUCUUUUGCCAUUUUCUUCUGUGACCAUAUCUGAAGUGUGUUGGAAAAUGUGUUCUCCUGAGGGCUGCACAGCUUGUUCAGUUUGGGGACAUAGAAGCUGCUUGAGGAGUUGAACAAUUACGUGCAUUUCAGGCUAGUUUGUGCUUUCAGUGGCAGCAAAAAUUCCUCGAUAACUUAGUAGAUGCAUUCAAUUUGCUUUCUCUUUCAUUUCCAUGGUAAGGAGUCAUCGAUGCAAAUUAUGUCUGGAUAUAGUUCUUCAACUUAAAGUCUUUCACUUAUUUAGUGGUCUUUGUGCUCGGCUUUUCCUUUCUCCAGCAUUUUACUGUGCUUUUUUUUUGUCUAUAUGAAAACCCAGGCUUGGUCUGUUAUUAUUUGUUUGUUGGCACAGUCUGCUUCUCAAGUUAUCACAAGCAACUUCCAACCCAUAAUUACAGUGUCCUCCUGAUUACUGCUAAGCCAGUGCCAUAUAUUUUAGGGUUUUGUGAGAACAGCAGGCUACUUCCAGUACAAAUUUCUGGUUUGGAUAGGAUAUAGUCCAAUCUUUUAUAAUAAAGAGACCUUAAAUAUAACAGUUUAUGCAAGAUAGAUAGAUAGAUAGAUUUUCUUUUCUUUCUAAAACAGUCCAGAGGUAGAUAAUUCAGAGCUUUUAGAGUAACGUUUCCAUAUUUACCAUGAAGUUUCCAUUUUGAGAGUCAAAGUUGUGAAACAGUUCUCACUGAUUCCUUGAUGGGGGAAGUAGGAAAAAAAUCAGGGGAGGAGGUACUCACUCAUUUUCUGGGUAAUGCACAAGAAGAAAAACAUUUGCUCCCACCCAUUUGAUUAGAAUUGUGUCACACGGAUCCACCAAGCUUCAAGAGGCAUGGAAAGUUAGUGAGUUACUGUGAAUAGAAAUUAUACCAAACUAUUAACAGUUCUUAUCUCUGGUGGGAUGUGCUUGUGAGAGUUUCAUUUUCUCUAUGAUUUACUUAGACUUUGUCCACUUAUUCAUUUUACUGUCUCUCUACUUUUUAGAUGUUUUACAGUCAUCAUCUAUCACUUGCAUGCUCCAAUACUAUUUAAAAAUUAAUUAAACCUGAAUUCUACAAUUAGGCAUUGUGAGAGAUGGUAUAAUGAAAGUUGUCUGAAGGUUUAAUGCACAAGAUAAGCCUUUGAAGAACUCUGGAGGAGAAACUGGCUGAUAAAAAGAUAUGGAACUGGAAAUCUGUGAAAAGAGAGAGAAUGAUCUUGUUUGGCAAUAGUAAAAUUCUUCCUAAGAAAUAAAACAGAUUAAGGAGUUGAGAGAGAGAGAGAAAGAAAGAGGGAG
RNAcentral lists this long non-coding RNA (2868 nucleotides) under Homo sapiens (human). RNAcentral's name for it is "LNC_000205". Lineage: Eukaryota; Metazoa; Chordata; Mammalia; Primates; Hominidae. The record is from RNAcentral.